This is a non-coding RNA of Potamilus streckersoni, 68 nucleotides long. The record is from the annotation of a GenBank genome assembly. Lineage: Eukaryota; Metazoa; Mollusca; Bivalvia; Unionida; Unionidae.
GGUGGUUUAGUGGGUAGAGCCUCCGCCUCUGAUGCAGAAGGUCGUGGGUUCGAUACCCGGUCCAGUCA